GUGCUUGCUUCAGCAGCAUGAAUACUAAAACUAGAAUAAUACAGAAAAUAGCAUGGCCUGUAUACAAGAAUACCACACACAGUUGUGAAUUGUUUCAUAUUUUU
Nannospalax galili (Upper Galilee mountains blind mole rat) is the source of this 104-nucleotide small nuclear RNA. NCBI's taxonomy places the organism in Eukaryota, Metazoa, Chordata, Mammalia, Rodentia, Spalacidae. The record is from Ensembl.